UCAGAUUAAGGUGUGUCUUUCCGUUUCCAGCAAGGAGAUGAAGGAGAAAAUUGCCAUUGUGUGAGUGUGUAAGGAAGCCACAUCCUAAACAAACGAUAGCCUGAAUCCCCACACCUCUCUCACUGACACCUUAAGGGUCAGAUCCCUGGCUAUUCCUCAAGUUUUGUUUUCUUUGGACAGAAAUCGCUUGCUACAAAAAGAGGAAACUGCAGCACGGGCUAAUGUUCAGAACACCACAAUAAUCCUGGGUAAGACUUCACUUUUACCCUCAGAACAGCCCAAAUUCUUCAUGACCUGGAAUCUGGUGUUGGACACAUUCCAUUAAGGUUCUGGGCUGUGACUCUCCUGUUCUGCUACAUCCUAAAGGUUGGGAUCAUCUAUAGGAUUCAGAUCGGCGACUGCAGAGGCCGUUGAAGUAUUGUGAACACGGUCAUGUUCAUGGAACCAGUUUGAGACAACUUUCUGACAUGACACAUUAUCAUGCGAGGACUCAAAGUCCCUCUCACACCAGAAUCUGGACUUCCCAGGCAGUCUCCUGUCCCAGUACUAACCAACUCUUUAAGGUGUAUGGGUGCAGCGCCAAUCUCCAUUUUGAUAGCCCUCGGCUAUCGAAAUGUAACCCUAUAGCUAGGGUUACAGAGGGGGGCUAGUCCUCUGGUAACCGCGAGGGUUUGACUCCCCACUCGCAUCUGUAUUGCAGCGUGCCUUGCCAGAUGAUAGUAGGUACCAUUUUUAUAAUGGUCUUUGGUAUGACCUGACCGCGAGUAGAACUCAUGAUCUCCCGGUCAAGAGGCGGACACGCUAACCACUAGGCCAACUUGCGGUCUCGUGCGAGGAGUAAUCAUUAUCUAAUGAGUAAAUUGUGGCCAUAAAUGGAUGCAUGUGAUCAGCAGUAAUAUUCAGGCUGACAGGAGUAGAACUUGAUGCCGUCUUCUGCCUCCAAUUCUCCUGAUCCACCAUGACCCUGAUCAGGAUAGAGUGGUUAGUGAGGAUGAAUGAAUGAAUGAAUGAAUGAAUGAUCAUAGCAUCUUUUUGAUACUGGGCAUUAUGAUAUUGUGAUAGUUAAAUUAAUCACCUUCAGAGAUGUUUGCUUAUAGUCACAGUCUGCCACUUUCUUUCUCCACUAUUUGAAUAAAAAAUAGUAUGUCUCUCUGUUUUUAACACCA
Long non-coding RNA from Neoarius graeffei (lesser salmon catfish), 1166 nucleotides. RefSeq lists it as uncharacterized. Lineage: Eukaryota; Metazoa; Chordata; Actinopteri; Siluriformes; Ariidae. The record is from RefSeq and is a predicted model, not a curated record. The transcript is spliced from 2 exons.